CUUUUUAACAGUUAUUGCAGUAGCAGCCUAACUGGUCUUCCUGUCCUCAGACCUCCACCUUCAGUCCACCCAUCACCCUGUUGAAAGAUUAUUCUUAUAUCACAAGGCUCAUUAUGACGCUCUAUUCAGAAGCCAACAAUUGCUCUCAGCUGCCUACAGAAUAAAAUUCAAAUUACCUUUUUUCUAUAAGAAUCUGAGGUGGGCCUUUUCAGUCUUUCACCAGAGUAUCUUUCACUGCAUACUAUAGUUCUUCAAUUCUAAGGUGCCAUUGAUUAUGACAGAUCAUUGAUUUAGUAACAGUUUUUGAGUCAGGGACCAAGGGGAAGGGUGGAACCUACUCAUCAUGGAUAAGAUACAUCAUUGAUUUCACAAUUAUUAAAAUCUUCAAGUUAGCUGAACCCAGUUGGAAGCCAGAGGAAAAGUGAAGAAACUGGGUCUCAAAUCAGUGUUCCUAAGAACCAAAUAAAUACUAGUCGAAGUGAAAGUGAAGUUUCAGCCAGGAAGGUCAACAGACGUCUUCAAGAGUGCUUUGAAAACAAGUGGGAAGAAAAUUACCUCCUUGUGGAAAACCUACGGGGCCCUGUCACCUGGAAUAGGUCUAUGAUUUUGGUUUUCACUCAGGCCUCAUUUCCCUUAUAAGAAGAAUGAAAUAAGCUAAUGCAUAAAAGUGGCUUAGCAGACGGCCUGCCACAUGGUCAACUUAAAUAAAAAUGAUUAUUUGCUCUAGGGGGAUUUGGUGAGAUAAUUGUCAAUAAUUGAGAAAUAAGGGAAAUAAGAUUUUUUUCUGAUACUUAACCUUGAAAUUAAAUUCAAAUAAAUGGUGGAACAUUCAUACAAUAUAAUAAUACAUACCUGUUAAAAUGAUAACAUACAUUUGUAGUUAUUGAUAUGGAAAAAGGUCUAUAGAAUAUUGUUGCAUAAAAAAGUAGGUUAUAAAAAUCAUGUAUAAUGUGACUUUUCUUUUUCUUUUUAAAUUCACG
This 980-nucleotide long non-coding RNA is filed under the name Equus caballus (horse). RNAcentral describes it as "lncRNA (ENSECAG00000053000.1)". Lineage: Eukaryota; Metazoa; Chordata; Mammalia; Perissodactyla; Equidae. The record is from RNAcentral.